This 301-nucleotide ribosomal RNA is filed under the name uncultured bacterium. Its description in RNAcentral is "partial 16S ribosomal RNA". It matches the Rfam family "Bacterial small subunit ribosomal RNA", at positions 509 to 807 of the family's 1533-position model. The record is from RNAcentral.
CAGUAGCCGCGGUAAUACGUAUGUCGCGAGCGUUAUCCGGAAUUAUUGGGCAUAAAGGGCAUCUAGGCGGCCGGAUAAGUCUGGGGUGAAAACUUGCGGCUCAACCGCAAGCCUGCCCUGGAAACUAUGCGGCUAGAGUACUGGAGAGGUGGACGGAACUGCACGAGUAGAGGUGAAAUUCGUAGAUAUGUGCAGGAAUGCCGAUGAUGAAGAUAGUUCACUGGACGGUAACUGACGCUGAAGUGCAAAAGCUAGGGGAGCAAACAGGAUUAGAUACCCCUGUAGUCCCUGUCUCUUAUAC